Molecule: ribosomal RNA, 441 nt
Filed under: uncultured Bacilli bacterium
Lineage: Bacteria; Bacillati; Bacillota; Bacilli
Description: SSU rRNA
Rfam family: Bacterial small subunit ribosomal RNA
Source: RNAcentral
AGAGUUUGAUCCUGGCUCAGGACGAACGCUGGCGGCGUGCCUAAUACAUGCAAGUCGAGCGGAGUUGUGAGAGAGCUUGCUCUCGAUCAGCUUAGCGGCGGACGGGUGAGUAACACGUAGGCAACCUGCCCAUAAGACCGGGAUAACAUUCGGAAACGAAUGCUAAGACCGGAUACGCAGCGAGGUCGCAUGAUCUUGCUGGGAAACACGGCGCAAGCUGUGGCUUAUGGAUGGGCCUGCGGCGCAUUAGCUAGUUGGUGAGGUAACGGCCCACCAAGGCGACGAUGCGUAGCCGACCUGAGAGGGUGAACGGCCACACUGGGACUGAGACACGGCCCAGACUCCUACGGGAGGCAGCAGUAGGGAAUCUUCCACAAUGGACGCAAAUCUGAUGGAGCAACGCCGCGUGAGUGAGGAAGGCCUUCGGGUCGUAAAGCUCUG